ACUAAAUAGAUACCCGGGUAGUCCACGCCCUAAACGAUGUCUACUAGUUGUUGGUGGAGUAAAAUCCAUGAGUAAACGCAGCUAAACGCGUGAAGUAGACCGCCUGGGGAGUACGGUCGCAAGAUUAAAACUCAAAGGAAUUGACGGGGGCCCGCACAAGCGGUGGAUUAUGUGGAUUAAUUCGAUGCAACGCGAAAAACCUUACCUGGCCUUGACAUGCCACUAACGAAGCAGAGAUGCAUUAGGUGCCCGUAAGGGAAAGUGGACACAGGUGCUGCAUGGCUGUCGUCAGCUCGUGUCGUGAGGUGUUGGGUUAAGUCCCGCAACGAGCGCAACCCUUGCCAUUAAUUGCCAUCAUUUAGUUGGGCACUUUAAUGGGACUGCCGGUGACAAACCGGAGGAAGGUGGGGAUGACGUCAAGUCCUCAUGGCCCUUAUGGCCAGGGCUUCACACGUAAUACAAUGGUCGGUACAGAGAGUUGCCAACCCGCGAGGGGAGCUAAUCUCAGAAAGCCGAUCGUAGUCCGGAUUGUUCUCUGC
This 539-nucleotide ribosomal RNA is filed under the name uncultured bacterium. Its description in RNAcentral is "bacterial SSU rRNA". It matches the Rfam family "Bacterial small subunit ribosomal RNA", at positions 772 to 1308 of the family's 1533-position model. The record is from RNAcentral.